Molecule: non-coding RNA, 45 nt
Organism: Schistosoma curassoni
Lineage: Eukaryota; Metazoa; Platyhelminthes; Trematoda; Strigeidida; Schistosomatidae
Source: Rfam
AUCCAGCUGACGAGUACCAAAUAGGAUGAAACGCGAGUCUUGGAU